GACGAACGCUGGCGGCGUGCUUAACACAUGCAAGUCGAACGAAGAGCGAUGGAAGCUUGCUUCUAUCAAUCUUAGUGGCGAACGGGUGAGUAACGCGUGAUCAACCUGCCCUUCAGAGGGGGACAACAGUUGGAAACGACUGCUAAUACCGCAUACGAUCUAAUCUCGGCAUCGAGGAUAGAUGAAAGGUGGCCUCUACAUGUAAGCUAUCACUGAAGGAGGGGAUUGCGUCUGAUUAGCUAGUUGGAGGGGUAACGGCCCACCAAGGCGAUGAUCAGUAGCCGGUCUGAGAGGAUGAACGGCCACAUUGGGACUGAGACACGGCCCAGACUCCUACGGGAGGCAGCAGUGGGGAAUCUUCCGCAAUGGACGAAAGUCUGACGGAGCAACGCCGCGUGAGCGAUGACGGCCUUCGGGUUGUAAAGCUCUGUUAAUCGGGACGAAAGGCCUUCUUGCGAAUAGUGAGAAGGAUUGACGGUACCGGAAUAGAAAGCCACGGCUAACUACGUG
RNAcentral lists this ribosomal RNA (510 nucleotides) under uncultured bacterium. RNAcentral's name for it is "partial 16S ribosomal RNA". It matches the Rfam family "Bacterial small subunit ribosomal RNA", at positions 28 to 507 of the family's 1533-position model. The record is from RNAcentral.